AGUGCUUGCACUCUGUGAAACAAGAUACAGGCUAGCGGCGGACGGGUGAGUAACACGUGGGUAAACCUGCCCCAAGAGAUCGGGGAUAACACCUGGAAACAGAUGCUAAUACCGGAUAACAACAGAUGAUGCCUAUCAACUGUUUAAAAGAUGGUUCUGCUAUCACUCUUGGAUGGACCUGCGGUGCAUUAACUAGUUGGUAGGGUAACGGCCUACCAAGGCGAUGAUACAUAGCCCGAGUUGAGAGACUGAUCGGCCACAUUGGGGACUGAGACACGGGCCCAAAAACUCCUACGGGAGGCAGCAGUAGGGAAUCUUCCACAAUGGACGCAAGUCUGAUGGAGCAACGCCGCGUGAGUGAAGAAGGGUUUCGGCUCGUAAAGCUCUGUUGUUGGUGAAGAAGGACAGGGGUAGUAACUGACCUUUGUUUGACGGUAAUCAAUUAGAAAGUCACGGCUAACUACGUGCCAGCAGCCGCGGUAAU
RNAcentral lists this ribosomal RNA (484 nucleotides) under uncultured Lactobacillus sp. RNAcentral's name for it is "bacterial SSU rRNA". It matches the Rfam family "Bacterial small subunit ribosomal RNA", at positions 63 to 524 of the family's 1533-position model. Lineage: Bacteria; Bacillati; Bacillota; Bacilli; Lactobacillales; Lactobacillaceae. The record is from RNAcentral.